Molecule: ribosomal RNA, 781 nt
Filed under: uncultured Neocallimastigales
Lineage: Eukaryota; Fungi; Neocallimastigomycota; Neocallimastigomycetes; Neocallimastigales
Description: partial large subunit ribosomal RNA
Rfam family: Eukaryotic large subunit ribosomal RNA
Source: RNAcentral
AGACUCUGUGCGCGUGCAUAUCAAUAAGCGGAGGAAAAGAAACUAACAAGGAUUCCCUUAGUAACGGCGAGUGAAGCGGGAAGAGCUCAAAUUUGAAAUCUUCCCAAGGUUUUACCUUGACGAAUUGUAGUUAUAUAGAAGUGUUUUCUGUUAGUUUGGAGUGAAAAGUUCUUUGGAAUAGGACAUCAUAGAGGGUGAGAAUCCCGUAUUUGGAUCCGUUACUUUCCAGCUGUGUGAUACACCUUCAAAGAGUCGGAUUGUUUGGGAUGCAGUCCAAAAUGGGUGGUAAAUUUCAUCUAAAGCUAAAUAUUGGCGAGAGACCGAUAGCGAACAAGUACCGUGAGGGAAAGAUGAAAAGAACUCUGAAAAGAGAGUUAAACAGUACGUGAAAUUGUCAAAAGGGAAGCGUUUGACACCAGUGUUGUUUAGUUCCGAAAAUCAAUUCAAUAAUUGAUUCAUGCCAGGUUGUAUUGACCUUAUCAGCUUGCAAUUUGGUUUUGGGUCUCUUUUUGAUGCACUUUUCGGUUAACAAGUCAACAUCAAUUUCCUUUGCUGUAAAAAGGUAAGAGGAAGGUGGCUUCAAUUUCGGUUGAAGUGUUUAUAGCCUUUUAUCUCUGCAGUCGGGGAGAUUGAGGUCUGCAGCGUAGAUCCUUCGGGGCUAGAUACAUUUAUGCUAAGCUAUAGCCUUGUAUAGACAACUUGUUGGCUAUGCUCAGUCAUGUAGCUUACUCGUAGAUGCUAUUUUACCUACGCUUAGGAUGUUGAAGUCAUCGUAUCGCGC